AAAAGAACUUUGAAGAGAGAGUUCAACAGUACGUGAAACCGCCUAGAGGUAAACGGGUGGAUCCGCAAAGUCGGCCCRCGGAAUUCAGCUCGGAUGGCCGGCGCGUUGGCUGGGYAAGGGAUCUUKACGGACCCUCCCGGCUGACGACGCUGGCCGGCCGUGUGCACUUUCCGCGGGCAGAGCGCCACGACCGGUUCUCGGGCGGUCAAAAGGCGGCGAGGAAGGUAGGUGGGCGCUUCGGCGCUUACUGUUAUAGCCUCGCCUGUCCCGAUCCGCUCUGGGGACCGAGGAGCCGCCGYCGGUGUAGGCCGCCUCGCUCUCCUGGGGAGUUCGACUGGCAGAGACUGGGCAACCGUGUCUGCCGACCGCUCUCCGGGAUGGAYGGGGUGGGCCCGCCGGCACAGGGUCAGUGGCGAAUCGGUCGGCCCUCCACCCGACCCGUCUUGAAACACGGACCAAGGAGUCUAACAUGCGCGCGAGUCGUUGGGUAGUACGAAACCCGAAGGCGAAGUGAAAGCGAGGGCCGUCUCGUACGYGCCUAGGUGGGAUCCCGGGGCCKUGGUUCUGGGCGCACCACCGGCCCGUCUCGUCCGCGCUGUCGGUGAGGCGGAGCAGGAGCGUGCAUGUUGG
Molecule: ribosomal RNA, 630 nt
Filed under: Echinolittorina millegrana
Lineage: Eukaryota; Metazoa; Mollusca; Gastropoda; Littorinimorpha; Littorinidae
Description: eukaryotic LSU rRNA
Rfam family: Eukaryotic large subunit ribosomal RNA
Source: RNAcentral